This 428-nucleotide ribosomal RNA is filed under the name uncultured bacterium. RNAcentral's name for it is "bacterial SSU rRNA". It matches the Rfam family "Bacterial small subunit ribosomal RNA", at positions 355 to 774 of the family's 1533-position model. The record is from RNAcentral.
UGGGGAAUCUUCCGCAAUGGGCGAAAGCCUGACGGAGCAACGCCGCGUGAGUGAAGAAGGUUUUCGGAUCGUAAAGCUCUGUUAUCGGGGGCGAAAGGUGAGACUGUGAAUAAUGGUUUCAUAAGACGGUACCUGAUGAGAAAGCCACGGCUAACUACGUGCCAGCAGCCGCGGUAAUACGUAGGUGGCAAGCGUUGUCCGGAUUUACUGGGUGUAAAGGGAGCGUAGACGGUACUGCAAGUCGGGAGUGAAAUGCGGGGGCUCAACCUCUGGACUGCACUUGAUACUGCUUGACUUGAGUAAUGGAGGGGUAACUGGAAUUCUCGGUGUAGCAGUGAAAUGCGUAGAUAUCGAGAGGAACACUCGUGGCGAAGGCGAGUUACUGGACAUUUACUGACGCUGAGGUACGAAGGCUAGGGUAGCGAAAG